RNAcentral lists this long non-coding RNA (285 nucleotides) under Elaeis guineensis (African oil palm). Its description in RNAcentral is "long non-coding RNA (EGUI_LNC052192)". Lineage: Eukaryota; Viridiplantae; Streptophyta; Magnoliopsida; Arecales; Arecaceae. The record is from RNAcentral.
CCGCGAGAUCGACACUCGAUGCCUCCGCGUAGGGCAUCCACCCGGCGGUCCACGGCCUCCGCGGCCAGAUCUCAGGCUCCGGCCUCCCCUCCCGUCUCUUAGCCAGCUCCUCCUCCCCCUCCGGCGACGGCGGUCGGCGCGGAGCAGUUUGACUUGCUGGCGCAGCAGGUCAAAGGCCUCGUCGAGGCCGUACAGGCAAUGCAGCAGCAGCCACCGCAGGCGUCGGCGCAUCCGGAGGGGGCAUCUCCGGAAUGCCAGAACCCGACGGUGGGGCGGGCCACCUGG